RNA transcript from Homarus americanus (American lobster), 2138 nucleotides. It is a transcript of the gene named protein spaetzle-like, with no coding region annotated. The record is from RefSeq and is a predicted model, not a curated record. The transcript is spliced from 5 exons. NCBI's taxonomy places the organism in Eukaryota, Metazoa, Arthropoda, Malacostraca, Decapoda, Nephropidae.
UUAAUGUACGAAGACAAUUAUUUUUUCUAAUAUUUUUCAUUUCAGAGACCACGUGCAAAGGCUACUACGAAGAGACAGCAUGCUGAACGAGCUGGUGAAGGACCCUGUCCUCAGUAUCAUUCUCAACGAUUCCCCUCGUCCCUCCCAGGGGCCGAAGAUACCGACCCUUAGAGUGGGCUCAACGCAGGAGUCCCCAGUGUGCCAGGCACAGGAAACAAUCAUCUACCCUAUGCGUGGCAAAACACCAAAGAAUGAUUGGGUCUUUGUUGUCAAUCAGCAAGAUGUCGAGCAAGCAAUCAAAGUUGAGAAAUGCAUCAAGGAUGGCAGUAACUGCAACUUUGGGAUGCCAAUUCAGGGAUCUACAACAGCAGUGUGUCGCCAGAAGUAUGUAUACAAAAGGAUGCUCAUAGUGGGAAGUAAUGCCAUCGAGCCCGAGGAGGUUCUUAUGCCAUCUUGCUGUGUCUGUUAUCUUGGGAACCAUGAUUUCGACAUACAUGCCUCACCUAGGAAAUAAAUAUGGAUUCCCUCGUAUCUUGCCUAUCAUCUUUGAAUAGGUAGUCAUCACUCCAAGACAAAAGUUGGUUGUAUGUCUUAGAAAUACUGUAUCUGGCAUCAUUUCUCGUAUUGCAAACGUCACUGGGCAGCCUGCAAAUGUUACACCGAAAAACAAUCCUCCGAGUACAUCAUUCCGUCCCAUUGGUUUUGUUGACAGCCGUAGUAACAGAAAUAGCUAGACACCUUUCAUAUUGAAGAUUUAUAUUGAAUUGUUGAGUUUUAUGUUAAUCUAACUUAGAAGAGAGUUUACAUUAUAAAGUUAUUUUUGAGCUACUAAAUCUCGUAACUAAUGUGCCUAUCUGGUCAAAUUGGGAGUCAUUCGGAGAGAGAUUGGUAUGAUCGUGAACAGAUUUAAUGAAUAAAUUAGUAAGAUAAUAGAAACAAGUUGCCAUUUCUUGUUAAAACUGGAUUCUUUAUCUGAUAAACAUGUAUCAUAUUUCCUCAUGAAUGAAUUAUUAUAACUAAAUAGACUUCCACUCAUAUGAGCUCAUUUGGUUAUGAAAAAUGUAAGCUUUGUUACUAUUCAAAGUAUUGAUGAAUUUUGAGAUAAGUUAUACCCAUUAUAAUUAUCAUUUAUAUGUUAAACAGAAGGAUAGCUACCCCUUUCUUUGCACAAUAAAAAAUCACUUUCUUCUAACAUCUAUCUACACAAAAUUUAUAAAACCCAUAAUAUCAGAUUAAUUUUGUAUGAUUUUAAUGCAACUCGCAUGUCCUAUGUGUAUUAUCACAAAUGUAACUACAGUAUGCCAUAUUAAAACAACAAGAAAACACGAAGUUCCCAGCGCUUUUUUGUAAUUCAUAUCUUCAGAUUUUCGUGUAGGUCACGUGAAUGCUUGUAUUGUACUGUACUACAACCGCAUUAAUGUAUUUUCAUCACUUGUUAAUGUGCGAGGUCUCCCACAAGUGAAGACGAUGUUACACAAGCACUCACACGAUCUCCACGAAAAUCUGUAAGACAGUCUGCAUACAUUUGUGAUACACCCUGUAUAUGUUUGUUUUUCUAAGAUUGAUUUGUAAAUUUUAAAAUGUAAAGCUGGGUUGUCUUCCUAAAGCACUAGCAUUUUAGAUUAUGAAGUCUUCUAUUUGAAAUUUGAUAAUUUACUUCAACUCAAAUUGUUUGUAAACUCAAACACUGGAUGUUGUAAUUGAUAAACAUUAUUGUUAAUUUGAAACGAUCAUUGUUGUUCUUUGAAUGUCUCAUGCUUUAGUAGGUGCUGUUAACUUAUAUUGGCACUUGUAGAAGUAGGCUGGUUACUUUUAUUGUGAACAAUAUUUAGCAAAAUGAAUAGAGGUAAAAAGUUAUUCUAUAUACCCAAAAUACCCUUUCUGGCUUUACAACUACCUGUAUACAGUAAUUGGCUCACUGAGUGUCUUCUCCACGCACAUAAUACUCCACUUUGCUGGGCACAGUGUGAUGUGAUGUGAUGCUACUUAUUACAGUAAAUUAUGUAUAAUGGAUGUCAAUGACAAUUGUAUACUGACGCCAUUAAACCUUUGAUGAAGUAAUAGGAUUUGUGUCUGUUGCAAAUUAUGCCAAUAAACUGUAGUCACCUAAAAGAUUUUGAAUAAAAAAGCAAAAUAUU